GGUGAGCUACCCCGAGACAGCCUAUAUUAAUUUAGGGCUAACCCGUCUCUGUGGCAAAAGAGUGGAAAGAGCUCCGGGUAGAAGUGAAAGACCUACCGAACCUGGUGAUAGCUGGUUGACUGAGAAAUGGAUAGAAGUUCAGCCUCGCACACCCCAAACCAAAAAAUAUUAUCACCAAGAUAUUAAGGGAAACGUACGAGAGUUAGUUAAAAGGGGUACAGCCCUUUUAACAAAGGAUACAACCUUUACAGGAGGAUAAAGAUCAUAAUGUAUAAGAUAUACUGUUCUAGUGGGCCUGAAAGCAGCCACCUAAACAGAAAGCGUUAAAGCUCGGACAGAAGGAAGUUUAUUAUACUGAUAAAAAAUCUUAUUCCCCUAGCUAUAUCAGACCAACCCAUGCCUCCAUGGAAGAGAUUAUGCUAAAAUGAGUAAUAAGAAGACCCGCUCUUCUCCCAGCACAAGUGUAAACCAGAUCGGACUGACCACUGGAACUUAACGAACCCAACCCCAGAGGGUAGUGUGAUUAACAAAGAACUCAAGAAGGCCUCACAUAACUAAUCGUUAACCCCACACUGGAGUGCUAUUUUAAGGGAAAGACUAAAAGAAGGGGAAGGAACUCGGCAAACACAAGCCUCGCCUGUUUACCAAAAACAUCGCCUCCUGCAACUAAACUGAGUAUAGGAGGUCCAGCCUGCCCAGUGACUACGGGUUCAACGGCCGCGGUAUCUUGACCGUGCAAAGGUAGCGCAAUCACUUGUCUCUUAAAUAGAGACCUGUAUGAAUGGCUAGACGAGGGCUUAACUGUCUCCCCCUUCCAGUCAGUGAAAUUGAUCUAUCCGUGCAGAAGCGGGUAUAAAUAUACAAGACGAGAAGACCCUUUGGAGCUUAAGGUACAAAAUUCAGCCACGUUAAACAACUCUAUAAGAAGCAAGAACUUAGUGAUAAUGAAAUUUUACCUUCGGUUGGGGCGACCGCGGAGGAAAAACAAGCCUCCGAGUGGACUGGGCCGAAUCCCUGAAGCCAAUAGAGACAUCUAUAAGCCGCAGAACAUCUGACCAAAAAUGAUCCGGCUAAAAGCCGAUCAACGAACCAAGUUACCCAAGGGAUAACAGCGCAAUCCCCUCCCAGAGCCCAUAUCUACGAGGGGGUUUACGACCUCGAUGUUGGAUCAGGACAUCCUAAUGGUGC
Molecule: ribosomal RNA, 1188 nt
Filed under: Rhynchocypris lagowskii (Amur minnow)
Lineage: Eukaryota; Metazoa; Chordata; Actinopteri; Cypriniformes; Leuciscidae
Description: partial 16S ribosomal RNA
Rfam family: Bacterial large subunit ribosomal RNA
Source: RNAcentral